CUAUGCGCCUUGCCAGCCCGCUCAGGUGUGCCAGCAGCCGCGGUAAUACGUAGGGGCAAGCGUUAUCCGGAUUCACUGGGCGUAAAGGGAGCGCAGGCGGCACGGCAAGUCUGAUGUGAAAACCCAGGGCUCAACCCUGGGACUGCAUUGGAAACUGCCGGGCUGGAGUGUCGGAGGGGUAAGCGGAAUUCCUAGUGUAGCGGUGAAAUGCGUAGAUAUUAGGAGGAACACCAGCGGCGAAGGCGGCUUACUGGACCGUGACUGACGUUGAGGCUCGAAAGCGUGGGGAGCAAACAGG
RNAcentral lists this ribosomal RNA (298 nucleotides) under uncultured bacterium. Its description in RNAcentral is "partial 16S ribosomal RNA". It matches the Rfam family "Bacterial small subunit ribosomal RNA", at positions 475 to 776 of the family's 1533-position model. The record is from RNAcentral.